Molecule: ribosomal RNA, 433 nt
Filed under: uncultured bacterium
Lineage: Bacteria
Description: partial 16S ribosomal RNA
Rfam family: Bacterial small subunit ribosomal RNA
Source: RNAcentral
AACGAACGCUGGCGGCAGGCCUAACACAUGCAAGUCGAGCGAGGACUUCGGUCCUAGCGGCGGACGGGUGAGUAACGCGUGGGAACGUUCCCUUUGCUUCGGAAUAGCCCUGGGAAACUGGGAGUAAUACCGGAUGAGCCCUUUUGGGGAAAGUUUUAUCGGGGAAGGAGCGGCCCGCGUUGGAUUAGUUAGUUGGUGGGGUAAUGGCAUACCAACCCGACGAUCCUUAGAUGGUUUGAGAGGAUGAUCAGCCACACUGGGACUGAGAAACGGCACAGACUCCUACGGGAGGAAGGAGAGGGGAAUCUUAGAAAAUGGGGGAAACCAUGAACUAGCCAGGACGGGUGAGAGAUGAAGGCAUUAGGGAAGAAAAGCACUUUAAGCUGGGAAGAUAAUGACGGUACCAGAAGAAGAAGCACCGGCUAACUCCGUG